GGCUGGGUAGCUCAGUGGAUUGAGAGCCAAGCCUAGAGGUGGUUAGUACUAGGUUCGAAUCCAGCCUCAGCCA
RNAcentral lists this transfer RNA (73 nucleotides) under Monodelphis domestica (gray short-tailed opossum). It matches the Rfam family "tRNA". From Rfam's summary of the family: Transfer RNA (tRNA) molecules are approximately 80 nucleotides in length. Their secondary structure includes four short double-helical elements and three loops (D, anti-codon, and T loops). Further hydrogen bonds mediate the characteristic L-shaped molecular structure. tRNAs have two regions of fundamental functional importance: the anti-codon, which is responsible for specific mRNA codon recognition, and the 3' end, to which the tRNAs corresponding amino acid is attached (by aminoacyl-tRNA synthetases). tRNAs cope with the degeneracy of the genetic code in two manners: having more than one tRNA (with a specific anti-codon) for a particular amino acid; and 'wobble' base-pairing, i.e. permitting non-standard base-pairing at the 3rd anti-codon position. Lineage: Eukaryota; Metazoa; Chordata; Mammalia; Didelphimorphia; Didelphidae. The record is from Rfam by way of RNAcentral.